CAUUGAGGCAUGAUAGUCAGGGAUUCGCCAAUUAGAGCUGUAACUUCGGGAUAAAGCUUGGCUCUGAUGAAAAUCAGAACCGAUGUUACGCGGGAGAGCCCAACUGUUUAAUAAAAACGUAGUGUCGCGCUGUGGUAGUAUAGCCAGUGAACGCGACAUGAAUCCUGCUCAGUGCUGUGUCUGUUAAUAUGGUUCAAGCCAACGAAGCACCGGUAAAUAGCUGGGGUAACUAUGACUCUUAUCAAAGUAGCGAAAUACCUCGUCACUUAAUUAGUGACCUGCAUGAACGGAGCUAUGAGGUUCUCACUGUCCCAAACUGUCUCUCAGCGAACCAACUGUAGUGGGAACGGUCACUAGAUAUCCAGCGGGGAAAGAAGACCCUGUAGAGCUUCACUUUGGUCUAGUCUUGUAUAGUUCCUGCGGGGGUGUAGACUAGGUGGGAGAGCAAUCGAUUCUGAAAAACCACUACCCUGUUUGGAAUUAUGCUUACCUAUCACAAGGAAUAGGACUAGAUAGAAAGUUUGGCUGGGGCGGCACACCUUCGAAAGAGCAGCGAAGGUGUCCUAAGUUGAGCUCAGUGAGGACAGAAAUCUCACGUUGAGGAUAAGGCCAAAAGCUCAAUUUACUGUGCCUUUUUGUACUAGGAUCAGUUACGAAAGUAAGGCCUAACGAUCCCUAAAUAGCCUCAGGUGCGUGAGGAUUGGGGUGACAGACAAGUUACCUCCGGGACAACUGGCUUGUGGCUGCUAAGAGAUCAAAUCAACGCAGCUUUUUGAUUCUUCGAUGUCGGCUCUUCCUAUCCUAGUGAUGUACAAGUUGCUAAGGGUCGGAUUGUUCACCCGUAUUAGGGAUCGUGAGCUGGGUUUAGACCGUCGUGAGCCAGGUUUGUUUAAUCCUACUGGAUAUAGCAUCAUGAUAGUAGAUUG
This 926-nucleotide non-coding RNA is filed under the name Trichomonas vaginalis G3. Its description in RNAcentral is "Eukaryotic large subunit ribosomal RNA". It matches the Rfam family "Eukaryotic large subunit ribosomal RNA", at positions 1888 to 3026 of the family's 3401-position model. Lineage: Eukaryota; Parabasalia; Trichomonadida; Trichomonadidae. The record is from Rfam by way of RNAcentral.